AAAAUCUCGGGGUGGAGCCAAGAUGGCUAAAUAGGAACAGCUCCAGUCUACAGCUUCCAGGGUGAGCGACACAGAAGAUGGUUGAUUUCUGCAUUACCAACUGAGUUAUUCUGAGAACCAUGGGCAAGAAAAGGAAGGCUGGGUUAGCCAAGGCCAUCUGAGGACUGUCCUGUAGCUUUCAUAGUUUUUGAAACAGGAGGCCUGCCAUCAGAAGAUACCCCUCAUAAUUAAACCAGCUGAAGCUCAUGGGGGAAUCCAAGAUGGCAGCUCAUUUGACCUUUGAAGAACUCCAAAAUUAAUUAUAAUCUAAUUUCCAUGUUAAAUGACACUCUCAGCAGUGUCAUGACAGUUAACAAUCACCAUGACAAUGAUUGGAAGAAACCAUAAAGGGACAAAAAGGAAGGUGGCACACCAGUUCUGAGAAGUUCUCCAUUCAUUCCAAGAAAAGAUAUGAAUAUUCCUCCCCUUGCUUUCAAUGCCCAAUUCUUUUAUUAAAUAUGCCCUAUAUCUGUGGCUUCCAAGCUCUUACAAGUUGAAUGGUUGAUUUGUGAGCCACACUCCCACUUCUCAAUUCUAUGGUAAUCAAAUAAAAACCUGUACUGCUUGACACUCACUUUCAGUUUUGCUUAUCAGCGUUGUGGCAAAGAACAGAAAAGAACCCAUCGUUUGGGUGAACAGAUUUGUCAGUAACAUCCUCAGAGAAUAUGUCUAACUGGGGCAACUAAACACCUCUAUGAUGCAAGUUAAAACCAACUGAUAAACACAUAAAUCACAUUGUCUAAACUGAAUAUUUAAAAGCAAAUUACAAAAAAAAAAUGGUGGAUAGGAGGCAGAGCUAAUUUGCAGCUUCCACUCAGACACACAGAGGAGUAUGUGGAGGCCCACAUCAUGAACCUUUGCUCCAAGAACUAUGGAAGAACAUACCAGGAAAGCCAAAAGAACACAGAGAUCCUUUGAAGGGAAGCAGCUUGCUUUUCAGUGAGACAGCCAAAAAACUGAGUGCCUGAAGUGUGAGAGGGGAAACCUUUGCCUCCAAACACACAUCCUCACUGGGGAAACUGAAGGCCCAGAUCACGGGAGAAGGAUCUGAGCUUAUGUGGAACUGAGACAACUUUAGAGAGCUGACCAAAAUAUAGAGAUAGAGGAAGCAGCAGGAAGAGCCCUGUGAGGCUCUUCCUCAUCAGGAAUCAGCACGAUCUUCUGUCCUUAGGAAAGCCAUUCCUAACUUUGUUUUGCAGGGGUCUGUGGGGAAGGCUGCCAGUGGAACCAGGGAAAGACCACAGGGAGAAUAGAACUUACAGCUGAACUUGGUAACAAUUUCCACCAAAUGCUAAGUAUCUUGGACGGAAUCUGGGGGAGGAGUGAACAGAGAGUGCAGAUAUUGGCACAGACACCACAGCAGGUGGGGAGGCACAAACUCUGAAAGCCCUGCUUGCUUUCUCAGUGGUGAGGCUUGUAGCCUGGGGCAAGUUCUCAGCCCUGCUCAUCUACUGCCUGGAAAUAAAUUUGGUGCUGUUGCGGGGACAUGGUGGGAAUGAGACUGGCCUUUCAGUCUACCUGGGGGCUGGGUGAGGCCUGUCACUGCUGGCUUUCCCCCACUUCCCUGGUGACCGGUAUGAUGCCUCUGAUCUCAGUUCAUUUGUGCUGUGAUAACAAAAUAACACAGACUGGAUAACUUCUAAAGAACAGAAAUAAAUAACAUAACUCCAUCAGCCUGAGAAUCACACCCCCAUCUCCCACAGCAGCUGCAGCAAGCCUCACCCAAGGAGAAUCUGAGCUCAGACAUGCUUAACCCUGCCCAACCUGAUAGUCUUUCUCUACCCACCUUGGUAACUAAAGACAAAGGACAUAUCUCUUGGGAGUUCUACAUUCCUGCUCACUCCUUGAGAAACCCAAAUACUUAUCCAGGCAACCCUAGGAUAAGCUUGUAUCCUCCCUAUACUACCACAGCUGAUGUUCUUUUGAAAGUGCCACCUACUGGCUAGAGGCCAACCAACAAAAAACCAGUGCACUAAACAAAACUACAACCAAAGACCCUCACAGAGUCCACUCCCCUGCUACCUCCAUCAGAGCAGGUGCUGAUAUUCAUGGCUGAGAGACCUGAAGAUGGAUCAUAUCACAGGACUCUCUGAAGACACUCCCCAGUACCAUCCUGGAGCCUGGUAACUCCACUGGGUGGCUAGACCCAGAAAAGAAAUAUCAAUCACUGAAGUCUGUCUCUCAGGAAGCCCCAUAACUAGGGGAAGGUGAAGAGCACUACAUCAAAGGAGCACCCUAUGGGAUAAAAGAAUCUGAACAACAGCCCUUGAGCCCCAAAUCUUCCCUCUGACAUAGUCUACCCAAAUGAGAAGAAACCAGAAAAACAAUUUUGGUAAUAUAGAGGUGAAGCCAGCUGGGCUUCUGGGUCGGGUGGAGACUUGGAGAACUUUUCUGUCUAGCUAAAGGAUUGUAAACACACCAAUCGGCACUCUGUGUCUAGCUAAAAGUUUGUAAACACACCAAUCAGCACUCUGUAAAAAUGCACCAAUCAGCACUCUGUGUCUAGCUAAAGAUUUGUAAAUGCACCAAUCAGCACUCUGUAAAAUGGACCAAUCAGCGCUCUGUAAAAUGGACCAAUCAGCAGGAUGUGGGUGGGGCCUAAUAAGGGAAUAAAAGCUGGCCACCUGAGCCAGCAGCAGCAACCCUCUUGGGUCCCCUUCCAUGCUGUGGAAGCUUUGUUCUUUUGCUCUUCACAAUAAAUCUUGCUGCUGCUCACUCUUUAGGUCCUCACUACCUUUAUGAGCUGUAACACUCACUGUGAAGGUCUGCAGCUUCACUCCUGAAGUUAGUGAGAUCACAAAUCCACUGGGAGGAAUGAACAACUCUGGAUGCACUACCUAUAAGAGCUGUAACACUCACUGCGAAGGUCUGUGGCUUCACUCCGGAAGUCAGUGAGACCACGAACCCACUAGGAGGAAGAAACUCUGGAGACAUCUGAACAUUUGAAGGAAUGAACUCUGGACACACCAUCUUUAAGAACUGUAAUACUCACCGUGAGGGUCUGAGGCUUCAUUCUUGAAAUCAGUGAGACCAAGAACCCACCAGAAGGAACGAAUUCUGGACACAUUUUGGCAACCCAGAUGGGACAAUCACCAAGUGUUAAGGUGGCAGGAGUGGAAUCUUGGAUUUACCACAUCCGAGAUAAAUUUUGGACACCCCCUGAGGAGCCUGUGGGACUGUCAGCUCAGGAGUCCCAAGAUCAGCCAGACCAGCCUCAAUACACCUACGACCUGUUGGAGGACUUGCAUCUCCUAUUUCAGAAGGAAACAUCCCAGACUAAAAAGGCUCCUACCACUGAUCCUGAAGAAAAACUCCUUCCUCCUUAAAAAAGAUAAGUGAAAACCUAUAUAAUCUUUAUUUUUAACACCUCUCCUUGCCCCUUUAAUGGAAUUCUUUUACUAUUUCAUCAUAUUAUUAAGUAGCAUACUAACCAUACUCUUUGCGAUAGGACUAUAUACUGUAGCUCCUGCUGGGAAGAAAAUCCAAAUCAUAUCAACCUUCUUUCUAUCUUCCUUCCUUCUGACAGCAAUUUACUUCUACCUUUAACUCAGACUGGAUAAGAUGAUCUCAUCUUCCAGAGCACCCUCUUUACCUUCCUAUUUACUCUUUGCCUAUCUAUCCCUGCUGCUUCCUUGGAUAUCUCAUACAAUCACCCCUCCCCUUCCACUAGGUCCUAAUUACCUCUACAAGACUCUCAACUUAACCCACUCUCUGUUAAACCAGUCCAAUCCUUCCCUGGCAAAUUACUGUUGGCUUUGUAUCUCUCUAUCAACUUCUGCUUACGUUGCCACUCCCAUUCCUGCCAAAAAAUUGGGUUUUUAUCAACUUAACCUACCACCCUCAUUAUGAAGGAAAAGACCCUUUCUGACUUCUAAAUAUGCAAUCAUUAGCUGACUUCCCCAUCUCUGAUAGGACCAAGAAUACCCUAACAGGACGUGCAAUCCAACUUUUAUGUUCUUACAUUUCCAACCUCACCUAUUACACAAGCAAUGAAAAGCCCAUACACGGCCCUAUAACUAUGAAUACCAUCCUAAUUUUCCAAGCCCCUUUAUGCAUCCAACACAACCUAUUAUCAGGCCUGCCCCUGGGGCAUCUACUACCCCAUCAGUGUAAUUACACCCUACAACUUCAAGCCCCAACUGAUCAUAGUAACUUCCGAGUCACCCAAACAAUUCCAUUCAGAUGGCUUGUCUGCUUCUCAGGGCCCCCCAAAAUCAUCAACUCCUCCCUGCUUAACAAACAGUCCAGGUUUUGUAAUGGCAAACAUACUCCCUGUAUGACCAUUCACCCCUGGACCUCCUACAGAAGCACCCCCACCACUAGUGAAUGCCUUCUCAUCCCCUCUUUCAAUCACACUCUCAAAUGGUUCCUAGUAGGUACAAAAUGGUUUUUUCUCCAAUAGGAAAAUAGAACAUAGGGAGCCACUCCCUAUGUUUGCUCCCAACACCCCUUUCCAGCCAUUCACUGGAGCUACCUUGGCAAGUACUCUAGGAGUAUGGGAAAAUGAAAACAACAAACUCACACAUCUUUUUAACAAAAACAACCAGUUCUGUCUACCCAGCUAAGUAUAUUCUUCUUUUGUGGAUCAUCGACGUAUAUCUGCCUCCCCACUAACUGGACAGGCCCUGCACCUUUGUCUUUCUAAGUCCCAACAUUAACAUUCCCCCAGGAAAUCAGACCCUAUCAGUACCCCUCAAAGCUCAAGUCUGUCAGUGCAGGGCCAUACAACGAAUAACCCUACUUAUAGGGUUAAGAAUGGCUACUGCUACAGGAACUGGAAUAGCCAGUUUAUCUACUUCAUUAUCCUACUACCACACACACUCAAAAGGAUUUCUCAGACAGUUUGCAAGAAAUAACGAAAUCUAUCCUUACUCUACAAUCCCAAAUAGACUCUUUGGCAGCAGUGACUCUCCAAAACCACUUAGGCCUAGACCUCCUCACUGCUGAGAAAGGAGGACUCUGCACCUUCUUAGGGGAAAGUGUUGUUUUUACACUAACCAGUCAGGAACAGUACGAGAUGCUGCCUGGCAUUUACAGGAAAAGGCUUCUGAAAUCAGACAAUGACUUUCAAACUCUUAUACCAACCUCUAGAGUUGGGCAACAUGGCUUCUUCCCUUUCUAGGUCCUGUAGCAGCCAUCUUGUUAUUACUCGCCUUCAAGCCAUUUUUAACCUCCUUGUCAAAUUUGUUUCCUCUAGGAUCGAGGCCAUCAAGCUACAGAUGGUCUUACAAAUGGAAACCCAAAUGAGCUCAACCAACAACUUCUACUGAGGACCCCUGGACUAACCAGCUGGCCCUUUCACUGGCCUCAAGAGUUCCCCUUUGGAGGACACUACAACUGCAGGGCCCUUUCUUUGCCUCUAUCCAGCAGGAAGUAGCUAGAGUGGUCAUUGCCCAAUUCCCGACAGCAUUUGGGGUGUCAUGUUUAGAGGGGAGAUUAAGAGAUGAAGCUGGCUGGGCUUCUGGGUGAGGUGGGGACUUGGAGAACAUUUCUGUCUAGCUAAAGGAUUGUAUACACACCAAUCAGUGCUCUGUGUCUAGCUAAAGGUUUGUAAAUGCACCAAUCAGCAUGCUGUAAAAACGCACCAAUCAGCACUCUGUGUCUAGCUAAAGGUUUGUAAACGCACCAAUCAGCACUCUGUAAAAAUUGACCAAUCAGCACUUUGUAAAAUGGACCAAUCAGCAGGAUGUGGGUGGGGCCAAAUAAGGGAAUAAAAGCUGGCCACCCAAGCCAGCAGCGGCAACCCACUUGGGUCCACUUCCAAGCUGUGGAAGGUUUGUUCUCUUGCUCUUCGCAAUAAAUUUUGCUGCUGCUCACUCUUUGGGUCCACACUACCUUUAUGAGCUGUAACACUCACCACAAAGGUCUGCAGCUUCACUCCUGAAGUCAGCAAGACCACGAACCCACCGAGAGGAAGAAACAACUCCAGACACGCCAACUUUAAGAGCUGUAACACUCACUGCAAAGGUCUGUGGCUCCACUCCUGAAGUCAGUGAGACCAUGAACCCACUGGGAGGAACAAACAACUCUGGAUAUGCCAUCCUUAAGAGCUGUAACACUCACUGCAAAGGUCUGCAGCUUCACCCCUGAAGUCAGCAAGACCAUGAACCCAUGAGAAGAAAGAAACUCUGGACACAUCUGAACAUCUGAAGGAAUAAACUCUGGACACACCAUCUUUAAGAGCUGUAACACUCACUGCAAGGGUCUGCGGCUUCAUUCUUGAAGUCAGUGAAACCAAGAACCCACCAGAAAGAACCAAUUCCAGACACAAUAUGACAAAACAUGAUUCUUUACCACUCCCCCCAAAUCACAGUAGCUCACCAGUAAUAGGUCCAAACCAAGAAGAAAUCUCUGAAUUGCCAGAAAAAUGAUGCAAAAGGUUGAUUAUUAAGUUACUCAAGGAGGCACCAGAGAAAGACGAAUAACAACUUAAAGAAAUUUUAAAAAAAAAAGAUACAGGAUACAGAUGGAAAAAUCUCCAGAGAAAUAGAAAUAGAUAGCAUAAAUAAAAAAAAGUCACAACUUCUAAAAAUGAAGGACACACUUAGAGAAAUGCAAAAUACACUGGAAAGUCUUAGCAAUAGAAUCAAACAAGUAGAAGAAAUAACUUCAGAGCUAGAAGACAAGCUUUAGAAUUAACCCUAUCUGACAAAGAGAAACAAUUAAAAAAUCAAAAAAAAAUUUGCAAAGCCUCAAAAAAGUUUGGGAUUGUGUUAAACAACAAAACCUAAGAAUAAUUGGUAUUCUGGAGGAAUAAGAGAAAUCUAAAAGUUUGGAAAACAUAUUUGAGGGAAUAAUUGAGAAAAACUUCCCUGGCCUUGCUAGAGAUCUAGACCUUCAAAUACAAGAAGCUCAAAGAACACCUGGGAAAUUCAUUGCAAAAAAGAUCUUUGCCUAGGCACAUAUUCAUCAGAUUAUCUAAAAUCAAGAUGAACGAAAGAAUCUUAAGAGCUGUGAGGCAAAAGCAACAGGCAACCUAUAAAAGAAAACCUAUCAGAUUAAUAGCAGAUUUAUCAGCAGAAACCCUACAAGCUAGAAGGGAUUGGGGUCCUAUUUUUAGCCUCCUUAAACAAAACCAUUAUUAGCCAAGAAUUUUGUAUCCAGUGAAACUAGCAUCAUAAAGGAAGGAAAGGUACAGCCUUUUUCAGACAAACAAAUGCUGAGAGAAUUUGCCACUACCAAGGUAGCACUACAAGAACUGAUAAAAGGAGCUCUAAGUCUUGAAAUAAAUGCUUAAAAUACACAAAAAUAGAACCUCCUUAAAGCAUAAAUUUCACAGGAACUAUAAAACAAUGAUACAAUAAAAAAACCCACCAAGGUAUUGAGGCAACAAAUAGCAUGAUGAAUAGAAUAGUACCUCACAGCUCAAUACUAACGUUGAAUGUAAAUGGCCUGAAUGCUGCACUUAAAAUAUACAGGAUGGCAGAAUAAGAAAUUGUGUCCAGAAUUGGUUUCUUCCAGUGGGUUCUUGGUCUUGCUGACUUCAAGAAUGAAGCUGCAGAUGCUCACAGUGAGUGUUACAGUUCUUAAAGAGGGAGUGUCCAGAGUUUGUUCCUUCAGAUGUUCAGAUGUGUCCAGAGUUUCUUCCUUCUGUUGGGUUUGUGGUCUUGCUGACUUCAGGAGUGAAGCUGCAGGCUUUCGCAGUGAGUGUUACAGCUCUUAAAGGUGGUGCGUCCAGAGUUGUUUGUUCCUCCUGGUGGGUGUGUGGUCUCGCUGACUUCAGGAGUGAAGCCGCAGACCUUUGCAGUGAGUGUUACAGCUCUUAAAGUUGGCGUGUCUGGAGUUGUUUCUUCCUCUUGGUGGGUUUGUGGUCUUGCUGACUUCAGGAGUGAAGCUGCAGACCUUCACGGUGAGUGUUACAGCUCAUAAAGGCAGUGUGGACCCAAAGAGUGAGCAGCAGCAAGAUUUA
Long non-coding RNA from Gorilla gorilla gorilla (western lowland gorilla), 7948 nucleotides. RefSeq lists it as uncharacterized. The record is from RefSeq and is a predicted model, not a curated record. Lineage: Eukaryota; Metazoa; Chordata; Mammalia; Primates; Hominidae. The transcript is spliced from 4 exons.